Long non-coding RNA from Cyprinus carpio (common carp), 1042 nucleotides. The record is from Ensembl. NCBI's taxonomy places the organism in Eukaryota, Metazoa, Chordata, Actinopteri, Cypriniformes, Cyprinidae.
AGACGCACCUGUUAGCGUUUAGUAGUCAAGACGAUACGCAGGUAUUAUUUUUCUGAACCUGUUGCGAUACGACAGAGAAAACGCGCUAUUUAGGCUUCGAAAGUCAAGGUAAGAUUGUUUAUUUUGAGUCAGUUUUCUUAAUUAGAAUUAGUUCAUUAGAAAGAGUAUCAAUCUCUCUAACGAUCUGUUAUUUGUCAGGUGUCAUGGGGUCAUGGAUGCUGGUUCUGUGUACCACAGUCACUCUGAUGCCUGUGUGUCUUCAUGGAGCAAUAUCAGUCCGCUUUAAGACCGGACGGCCUCUCUAUGUGGCACUCGGCCGAACUCUUGUUUUGGAAGUCGAAUUCAAGAAGGACUCGGACGACAAAAUAGACAUGGUGACGUGGGACCGCGAGAGAGGAAAUGUCACUGUCAGACUGUCACAUGGAAACAGAAUAUCUUUGGAGAACGGAGAUGCACUUCUGCGGGUCACUGAUGUUGCAGAAGGGGACCUUGCGACCUACAAAGUCACCGUUACAGACAGUAACGGAUACCAGCAGCAAGACUCCAUAGAAGUACAAAAGAUAGUGGAAUCUCCAAAGGCGUCAAUUACACGUGUGCUGGAUUGUGUUGUGGAUAAUCAUGGCAUGACUCAGUGGGACAGCCCUCAGUUUUCAUGGCUGGUUGAUGGUGUUACAGUAACCAAUCAAUCCGCCCUGUUAACUAAUGGCAGUAGACUAGAUAUCUCUGGGAUUAAGGGUGUUAACUACACCUGCAUCAUCAGCAGCAGUCUGGGGACACUCACAACACAUUAUGAAAUGCCAAAAGAAUCUCAGCCCUGUUGUGCGGGACUGAUUGCAGUCGGAGUUGUAACAGCAAUAGCACUUGUGGCCGGACCAAUUUUCCUGAAGAUGCACAGAAAACACCAUUAAAAUAAGUUAUCCCUACUAAGUUCACAUAGAAGAUUUUAUUAUUUAUUUACAUGUUAAUAUACCUGUAAACAGUUUAUUUUGAUCAUAUUGUUUAUUCUAAACUGUUGAUUUAAUAAAGUUCAUGUUUUAUGUCA